This 1258-nucleotide long non-coding RNA is filed under the name Homo sapiens (human). RNAcentral's name for it is "HSALNT0097870". The record is from RNAcentral. Lineage: Eukaryota; Metazoa; Chordata; Mammalia; Primates; Hominidae.
AGGAAAUCCCUGCUCCAGCCCUAAGCCUGUUGGAGCAGGGUCCUAGCAACUGCUUCCCCAACCAGAAGCAUAGCACCUGCCAGGCCAGGAACUUAAGAGAAAUGAAGGCCUCCCCUAAUCCCAGGGAGGCAAUACUAUUAUUUCUCCUGUUUACAGACAAGAACCCUGGGGCUGAGAGCCAUUUGGUCACGUGACCAGGGCCUUCCCUGCAGAAUGGGCAGAGCCAAGUCCCCUGACCCCAAAGUGCAGGCCUCACAGUGCUUUCAGAGUGCCUGAAUGGUGGAGGGGGCUGAGGGCUUUCUUCCCAGCCCUGGUCAUCUCGCCCCAGGCCUCAGCUGUGGGCAUCUACCCAGGAAGGCCAGGAGAGGCAGGCCUGAAGAAGAAUCUGGAAGGAGGAGGUCCACCAUGGGGCAUCAAAUACUUCAUUUGUAUGCUGAGCCAAGCUGGGCUGGAGGCCGGGGGCCCCUCGAGGGCAAGCCUCUGGGCCGGGAGCCAGGCUGACCUCUGCCCACUGAGGCCAGGAUGAGUAUGUCCUUUUCUGCCUCCCUCUUUCUUAGAAGUACUCUCAGCCCAGUACUUCCUGAGAUUUCUGCUGCAGUGCCAAGCAGCCUGCUUAACCCCUCACCUCCCACUCCUUCCGAGGCGACUCAGAACCCAGAGGGGAAGGGUCAGAGGUGUACAGGUGCCCAGGGGUUCCAGGGAAAGAGAGCAUGCAUCCGGGACCCUGGAGGGCUCUGUUUCAGCUUCACCUCUUAGCCUAUGCCUUAAAUGGACCACUUCACCCCUCAGAGCCUCUUCAGCUUCAAAUGGAGUUUGGCGAUGACAACAGCCUGGUAAAGCAUGCUUGCAGAUGGAACGAAGACAGACCUAGAUGGGACACCAAGCACCUUCUCUGGGCCAGGCACUGGCAUUACUGAUUGACGUGCAUUUCCUAUUCAUUCCUUGCAAUCACCCAGUGAGGUAGAAAUUAGUAUUUCUGCCAUUUUUUCAUUUUCAUGGGACUAAAGCACAGAGAGGGAAGGUAAUUGUCCAGGGUCACGCAGCUGGCAGGUGGUAGAGCGGGGGGUAGCUGAGUAGAGGCAAAAAGAAGUCUCAUUUGGCCUCUGAUGAGUAUUCUCAGCACUUUAGGGGCUUCUGGUAGACUGUGGCUCAUGCAGGGGUCAGGCCUGGCCCAUUCACUGUGCAUCCCAGCACCAACACCUAGCAGGAUGCCUGGUGCAGAGUCGGUACUCUGAAUGGCAAGAGAGCAGCAGUGCAG